CAGAACCCGGACGGGUCGGAAAAAAUCCGACCCGACCCGGACCGGUAGACCCAUUAGCCACCUUUAGUGCUCACACUAGAGUUGUCGAUAGAGAGAAUUCCGCUGGCCUUGGCUUUCCGUCGGCCACAACCAAGAGUGUAGAAAGUAUAGAAGAGUGAGAGUUGAGAGAAUAAUAGUAGUUGUAGCAGUAGUUAACUCUUAAAGGGAAAACGGGAAAUGCAGUUUAUAUAGUGGUAAAAAUAAACAUGCAAAUAGAAAAAUAUAGUCAAUCAAACAUAAACAAGGAAAGAAGAAAAUGUAAAAAUCAAUUUAGAAUCGUAUUUGUAGAAGAAAUCAGGUAAACCCUAGUUUGCCAAGGAUCGAAAAUUGACAGGAGAUAUCCAUCGGACCCUCAGAGCCUUGAUAUGGACGUAUACAAAUAAAAUAUCGUCCAAAUCCUGAAGAGUGAAGCCGGUUUCCCUUAAUUCUUAGAGUAGUACUUGCAAAAAAUAAGUGAGCACUAUGUAACACCAUAGUCAUGUAAGUAAUUACGAGGUAGGACACUUAAGGCAAGUAAUCAUGGAAGGAAUCCAUGAUUUGAUCGAAUUCAGAGAAUAUUGGUAGGGAGGCGGAUAUGGUUUCUGAAGGAGGGAGUGGGAGAGUGUUUAGGGGCGUCCGUCUUGAAAAAAUAAGUAUUAAGAUUUGGGGUUAUGUAGUUUAAAGGGAUGGAGUGAUCGUGUGCCAUUGAAAUUGAGAGAUCAAGGCCAACGGGCGAGUCAACAGGAGUGGUCGCGAUCAGGUUUAAUGAAGGGGUGUUUGGUUUGGGCUGCUAAGAGGUGGGAUGAUGUGGGCUUAAUGGUGUGGGCCUUGAAUUUGUCUG
Molecule: long non-coding RNA, 859 nt
Filed under: Nicotiana benthamiana
Lineage: Eukaryota; Viridiplantae; Streptophyta; Magnoliopsida; Solanales; Solanaceae
Description: long non-coding RNA (NBEN_LNC015024)
Source: RNAcentral